Molecule: small RNA, 97 nt
Filed under: Escherichia coli
Lineage: Bacteria; Pseudomonadati; Pseudomonadota; Gammaproteobacteria; Enterobacterales; Enterobacteriaceae
Also listed under: 2 other names
Description: partial RtT sRNA
Rfam family: RtT RNA
About the family: This family represents a bacterial cis-regulatory element known as RtT RNA. The exact function of RtT is unknown although it is thought that it may be involved in changing the cellular response in relation to amino acid starvation.
Source: RNAcentral
UUGCAUUUGAAGCCCAUGAGGAUGAGAACCUCCGGGGGCGGGGAGGUUCGACUCGAGCGAAGCGAGAGAACGUUGCGCCAGCAACGGCCCGCAGGGC